GAGCAUAGCUCAGUUGGUUAGAGCACACGCCUGAUAAGCGUGAGGUCGAUAGUUCGAGUCUAUUUGCUCC
This 70-nucleotide transfer RNA is filed under the name human gut metagenome. It matches the Rfam family "tRNA". Rfam says of the family: Transfer RNA (tRNA) molecules are approximately 80 nucleotides in length. The record is from RNAcentral.